CGGCUCUGCAGCGGCUGCUGGAGCUACACGGCGCGGCCAGGCGGCGGCGGCGGCGGGACCGCGAGCAGCAGCGGCUCCGGGAACACCCAGAACUUCCAGGAGCUACUGUGGCCCCCUGGCGCCGAGGAGCCUGCGUCUGGAAGGCACUCAGGCAGCUGGAGUUCACUGGAAAUUCAGGAGCACACAUAGGAAAGGGACAUGCAGCAUGGCCCAGCAAGCUGGCAACACUUGCUGGCAUAUUCCUUUUCCACACAUCUGCUCUUCAUCUCUAACUACUCCACUGCCGAGGCUGCUUUCCCUCCCUGCUGAAGGCCUGGACUCAGCCAGAUGGACAGCCUUCCCACCAGCACCAUCCCCUGCUUGCCUCCUCUCCUGACAUUUGCCAGCAACUUGAGCUCCCCAGGUGAGCUGGCCCAAUCUCAGGCCUUUAAAUAGGACUCAUAUCCUAAUGACCUCCGAAUGUGCACCUUCAGCUCUGACCUGCUCCUGAGGGCCGGACUUGCAGUCGCCUUUCGGCACCUCAAGCUUAACAUAGCUGAUGUGGACCUGUUUACAUGCACCCUCCAGCCCUGUCCUAUUCCAGUCUACCCUGAAAAAGCCAUUGCUUACAGGGCAGUCAGGGUGACUUUUUAAAAAAGUAAAUCAGUGUCACUCUUAAAGGCUGCUUAAAACCCUCCACUGUCUUCCUUGGCAUGGAAUAAAAUCCAGACUCC
This is a long non-coding RNA of Lemur catta (Ring-tailed lemur), 713 nucleotides long. RefSeq lists it as uncharacterized. The record is from RefSeq and is a predicted model, not a curated record. The transcript is spliced from 3 exons. Lineage: Eukaryota; Metazoa; Chordata; Mammalia; Primates; Lemuridae.